Molecule: ribosomal RNA, 211 nt
Filed under: uncultured bacterium
Lineage: Bacteria
Description: partial 16S ribosomal RNA
Rfam family: Bacterial small subunit ribosomal RNA
Source: RNAcentral
AUUGAACGCUGGCAGCAUGCUUAACACAUGCAAGUCGAACGGUAACAGGCCCUUCGGGUGCUGACGAGUGGCGGACGGGUGAGUAACGCUUAGGAAUCUACCUAGUAGUGGGGGAUAACCCGGGGAAACUCGGGCUAAUACCGCGUACGCCCUACGGGGGAAAGGCGGGGGACGUUUCGGGCCGUCGCGCUAUUAGAUGAGCCUAAGUCCG